CUACGGGUUGCAGCAGUGGGGAAUAUUGCACAAUGGACGAAAGUCUGAUGCAGCAACGCCGCGUGGAGGAUGACACAUUUCGGUGCGUAAACUCCUUUUAUAUAGGAAGAUAAUGACGGUACUAUAUGAAUAAGCACCGGCUAACUCCGUGCCAGCAGCCGCGGUAAUACGGAGGGUGCAAGCGUUACUCGGAAUCACUGGGCGUAAAGAGCGUGUAGGCGGGUUAAUAAGUUGGAAGUGAAAUCCUAUGGCUCAACCAUAGAACUGCUUCCAAAACUGUUAACCUAGAAUAUGGGAGAGGUAGAUGGAAUUUCUGGUGUAGGGGUAAAAUCCGUAGAGAUCAGAAGGAAUACCGAUUGCGAAGGCGAUCUACUGGAACAUUAUUGACGCUGAGACGCGAAAGCGUGGGGAGCAAACAGGAUUAGAUACCCUAGUAGUC
Molecule: ribosomal RNA, 439 nt
Filed under: uncultured bacterium
Lineage: Bacteria
Description: partial 16S ribosomal RNA
Rfam family: Bacterial small subunit ribosomal RNA
Source: RNAcentral